UUGGGAACUGUCAUUUGUCUGUCACCGGGGAAGUUAAUGGAUGUGUUUGUUUAGUUUGCACAAGAAAAGCCCCUGGAAGUUCACCUGUGCCUAACAGACCUCAGCAAAGCCGCAGUGACCGCGCUCCAUCCCAAACAACGCAGAGUUUUAAAUCCCAUUCAGAAGACUGAGAAGAAGAAAGAGCAAAUGAAAGAGCAACGUACUUGUAAUUCAUUCCUUGGUGCUCAGUGAGUAAAACUUUGCCCUCCUCUCUGCUUUAGCCUGAUAUAAAUCAAGAACCCACUGAGGCCAGUAAGCUCCUCUAAGUUUACAGUUAAUGCAUAAUUCUUUAGUAUCCUGUACAGAACCAGUCUGGAAGGCAAACAAAACGCUAGCAAGUGGCCAUAAAACAAGAUUUCAGGUUAACAAUUUGCGGAGGAACUUGGUGGAAGGGGGAGGAGGAAUGCUACCUCUCCCAUCAGCAGCCCAGAAAACUUUGUGUUGCUGCUCCAGUGCCCCUCAGCCAGUCUCCGCUCUGGGUACGCGCCUUCCUCCACUCCGAGACUUCUCCGUACAGCGCUGAUUCCUCCUUUCCUCUUCUUCCCCCCGCCACCCCCGCCACGCUUUCUCCACCAACAGCCCCACUUGUUUCCGUGGGCUCCAGAGGUGCGUCCCAAAGCGCAACCGCACUUAAUUACCCAGAUUCUUGAAGAUGCCUUCGCUGCGAUACGCACGCCCGGGGAAGAUCAGGUUUACAUUAAUUACACCCCAUUCUCCUCCUAAAACUCUCACUCUCUAAACACUGUCUGGAUUCCUCACCCU
Long non-coding RNA from Pyrgilauda ruficollis (rufous-necked snowfinch), 801 nucleotides. RefSeq lists it as uncharacterized. The record is from RefSeq and is a predicted model, not a curated record. Lineage: Eukaryota; Metazoa; Chordata; Aves; Passeriformes; Passeridae. The transcript has 3 exons.